Molecule: long non-coding RNA, 504 nt
Filed under: Homo sapiens (human)
Lineage: Eukaryota; Metazoa; Chordata; Mammalia; Primates; Hominidae
Description: HSALNT0214065
Source: RNAcentral
AUACGCACGGCAUUGAUAUUGUGUACCUUAACCCAAAAAUCUUAGGCCUGGCAAACACAGAGAAGAGACAUAUAGAAUAAUAGCUACCUAUUGAUAAUCCAAACAUAACAUAAAAAUAUGUGUCCCUAGUGGUGUUUUAUCUCUAACAAGGAUUAAAUGCUUUCUCCUAAAUGAAUGUCAUUAUGUUUCAAAAGUUUGCUAAUUAUUUGAUAAUCGUCAAAUGCAUCCAAGAUUUACAACUCCAAAUAAACAUUCAGUGUUAGAACUGGCUUUCAUUCAUGACUCCAGAGAGACCUUUCCUCACUGCUGUGUCUGAAGCAAACUCACAUUCCUGCCAACUUUCUCUAAGGAUAUUACACUGUUUACCUGCCUCUUCAAGAUCCUUAGGCCUUACAUCCCUGGUGCACUAUUCUAACUCCGGUGCCAAACACGUAACAGCACUCAAGAAAUGACUUGUUAAAGGAGUAAAUCUGAAUGUCCUAUUUGAUGUUGGGCCCUUAGAGG